UACGGAGGGUGCAAGCGUUGUCCGGAUUUAUUGGGCUUAAAGGGUGCGUAGGCGGGCCUUUAAGUCAGUGGUGAAAGCCGACAGCUUAACUGUCGAAAUGCCAUUGAUACUGGGGGUCUUGAGUACAGUAGAGGUAGGCGGAAUUAAUGGUGUAGCGGUGAAAUGCAUAGAUACCAUUAAGAACACCGAUUGCGAAGGCAGCUUACUAUAGUGUAACUGACGCUGAGGCACGAAAGUGUGGGGAUCAAACAGG
Molecule: ribosomal RNA, 253 nt
Filed under: uncultured bacterium
Lineage: Bacteria
Description: partial 16S ribosomal RNA
Rfam family: Bacterial small subunit ribosomal RNA
Source: RNAcentral